This 253-nucleotide ribosomal RNA is filed under the name uncultured bacterium. RNAcentral describes it as "partial 16S ribosomal RNA". It matches the Rfam family "Bacterial small subunit ribosomal RNA", at positions 524 to 776 of the family's 1533-position model. The record is from RNAcentral.
UACGGGGGGGGUAAGCGUUGUUCGGAAUUACUGGGCGUAAAGGGCUCGUAGGCGGCCAACUAAGUCAUACGUGAAAUCCCUCAGCUUAACUGGGGAACUGCGUGUGAUACUGGAUGGCUUGGAUUUGGGAGAGGGAUGCGGAAUUCCAGGUGUAGCGGUGAAAUGCGUAGAUAUCUGGAGGCACACCGGUGGCGAAGGCGGCAUCCUGGACCAAUAUUGACGCUGAGGAGCGAAAGCCAGGGGAGCAGACGGG